This 496-nucleotide ribosomal RNA is filed under the name uncultured bacterium. Its description in RNAcentral is "partial 16S ribosomal RNA". It matches the Rfam family "Bacterial small subunit ribosomal RNA", at positions 29 to 507 of the family's 1533-position model. The record is from RNAcentral.
AUGAACGCUGGCGGCGUGCCUAAUACAUGCCCGUCGAGCGAACGGACGAGAAGCUUGCUUCUCUGAUGUUAGCGGCGGACGGGUGAGUAACACGUGGAUAACCUACCUAUAAGACUGGGAUAACUUCGGGAAACCGUAGCUAAUACCGGAUAAUAUUUUGAACCGCAUGGUUCAAAAGUGAAAGACGGUCUUGCUGUCACUUAUAGAUGGAUCCGCGCUGCAUUAGCUAGUUGGUAAGGUAACGGCUUACCAAGGCAACGAUGCAUAGCCGACCUGAGAGGGUGAUCGGCCACACUGGAACUGAGACACGGUCCAGACUCCUACGGGAGGCAGCAGUAGGGAAUCUUCCGCAAUGGGCGAAAGCCUGACGGAGCAACGCCGCGUGAGUGAUGAAGGUCUUCGGAUCGUAAAACUCUGUUAUUAGGGAAGAACAUAUGUGUAAGUAACUGUGCACAUCUUGACGGUACCUAAUCAGAAAGCCACGGCUAACUACGUG